AUUGAACGCUGGCGGCAGGCCUAACACAUGCAAGUCGAGCGAGCGGCGGACGGGUGAGUAAUGUAUGGGGACUGCCCGAUAGAGGGGGAUAACUACUGGAAACGGUAGCUAAUACCGCAUACUAUCGGAUAACCCAUAUGGGAUUAGCUAGUAGGUGAGGUAAUGGCUCACCUAGGCGACGAUCCCUAGCUGGUCUGAGAGGAUGAUCAGCCAAACUGGGAGUGAGACAGGUCCCAGACCCCGACGGGGGCAGCAGUGGGAAAUAUUGCCAAAGGGGCGAAAGCCUUAUGCAGCCAUCCCGCGUGUAGGAAGAAGGCCCUAGGGUUGUAAAGUCCUUCAGUCUGGAGGCGUUACCGACAGAAGAAGCACCGGCUAACUCCGUGCCAGCAGCCGCGGUAAUAC
RNAcentral lists this ribosomal RNA (402 nucleotides) under uncultured bacterium. RNAcentral's name for it is "partial 16S ribosomal RNA". It matches the Rfam family "Bacterial small subunit ribosomal RNA", at positions 30 to 526 of the family's 1533-position model. The record is from RNAcentral.